Molecule: transfer RNA, 77 nt
Filed under: Pseudomonadota bacterium
Lineage: Bacteria; Pseudomonadati; Pseudomonadota
Also listed under: 1 other name
Description: tRNA-Pro
Rfam family: tRNA
About the family: Transfer RNA (tRNA) molecules are approximately 80 nucleotides in length.
Source: RNAcentral
CGGGGAGUAGCGCAGCUUGGUAGCGCGCUUGGUUCGGGACCAAGAGGGCGGGAGUUCAAAUCUCCUCUCCCCGACCA